This is a long non-coding RNA of Silurus meridionalis, 307 nucleotides long. RefSeq lists it as uncharacterized. The record is from RefSeq and is a predicted model, not a curated record. The transcript is spliced from 3 exons. NCBI's taxonomy places the organism in Eukaryota, Metazoa, Chordata, Actinopteri, Siluriformes, Siluridae.
AAAACCUGUGCUUGACUCUUUCAGAGAGACAUCAAAUGUUCCAGGUCUUCCUUUCUGCUGGAUAUUGCUGAAUCACAGCUGCUAAAGAACAUAGGGGAUGUGAUAGCAGGAGUGCUUCCGGACCUUCCUGAUCAACUUGUUAAGUCCGUUGAAGAUACUUUAAAAACACUUUGUGCGGCAACCACAGAUGAUUUAAAGAACAUCACAGAAAACGAUUUGCUGCCAGUGUUAAAGCCCAUACAAGCACGAAGACUGGUUGCUGCCUGGACCCAAAAUAGUGUUUCUUUUCCAUAAAUCCUGAGAUGUG